AUUCUUCAGCUAGCAGCACUCCUCCGUAUCGUGGUGGUGAUUGCGGUGGAAGUGGCAGUACUUCUUUCGAUUCUUUUGAUUCGGCUUGACUCUCAUUUUUUUAAGAUGACGUAUGAUGUUCUGGUUGUCAAUUUUCAUCAGGAUUUGAGUGUGGGGGGUCGUUAGAGGAGUGUAGUUGUAGAAGCAUCUUUAGGGACUCUUUGUCCUCUUUUGCUUCCAAGGGUGGUUCUCUCCAUCCUCUUUUCGAUCUCUAUGAUCAUCAUCAUGGGG
RNAcentral lists this long non-coding RNA (270 nucleotides) under Elaeis guineensis (African oil palm). RNAcentral describes it as "long non-coding RNA (EGUI_LNC029644)". Lineage: Eukaryota; Viridiplantae; Streptophyta; Magnoliopsida; Arecales; Arecaceae. The record is from RNAcentral.